This 79-nucleotide transfer RNA is filed under the name Noviherbaspirillum pedocola. It matches the Rfam family "tRNA". From Rfam's summary of the family: Transfer RNA (tRNA) molecules are approximately 80 nucleotides in length. Their secondary structure includes four short double-helical elements and three loops (D, anti-codon, and T loops). Further hydrogen bonds mediate the characteristic L-shaped molecular structure. tRNAs have two regions of fundamental functional importance: the anti-codon, which is responsible for specific mRNA codon recognition, and the 3' end, to which the tRNAs corresponding amino acid is attached (by aminoacyl-tRNA synthetases). tRNAs cope with the degeneracy of the genetic code in two manners: having more than one tRNA (with a specific anti-codon) for a particular amino acid; and 'wobble' base-pairing, i.e. permitting non-standard base-pairing at the 3rd anti-codon position. Lineage: Bacteria; Pseudomonadati; Pseudomonadota; Betaproteobacteria; Burkholderiales; Oxalobacteraceae. The record is from Rfam by way of RNAcentral.
GGGGGGGUGGCCAAGCGGUAAAGGCACCUGGGCGUUACAGGUCCGGGGUUAUUCGUUGGUUCGAAUCCAACUCCCCCCA